Unclassified non-coding RNA from Papio anubis (olive baboon), 148 nucleotides. It matches the Rfam family "Metazoan signal recognition particle RNA". From Rfam's summary of the family: The signal recognition particle (SRP) is a universally conserved ribonucleoprotein. The record is from Ensembl. Lineage: Eukaryota; Metazoa; Chordata; Mammalia; Primates; Cercopithecidae.
GCCAGGUGUGGUGGCGCACAUCUGUAAUCCCAGCUACUCAGGAGGCUGAGGUAGGAGAAUCGCUUGAACCCAGGAAGCAGGGGUUGCAGUGAGCGGAGAUCGCACCACUGCACUCCAGCCUGGCUGACAGAGCAAGACUCUGUCUCAA